RNAcentral lists this non-coding RNA (24 nucleotides) under Arabidopsis thaliana (thale cress). Lineage: Eukaryota; Viridiplantae; Streptophyta; Magnoliopsida; Brassicales; Brassicaceae. The record is from RNAcentral.
AACUUAACAGCCACGAAAUCGCGA